This 2887-nucleotide ribosomal RNA is filed under the name Chondrus crispus (carragheen). RNAcentral's name for it is "rRNA rrl". It matches the Rfam family "Bacterial large subunit ribosomal RNA". The record is from RNAcentral. Lineage: Eukaryota; Rhodophyta; Florideophyceae; Gigartinales; Gigartinaceae.
AAGUAAAGUAAGUAAGAGCUUACGGUGGAUACCUUGGCAUUUAGAAGCGAUGAAGGGCGUGACUACCAACGAAAUGCUCCGGGGAGCUGGAAGUAAGCUUAAAUCCGGAGGUUCCCGAAUGAGGAAACUCUAUUAUACUACCUACUGAAUUCAUAAGUAGGCAAGAGCAAACCUGGCGAACUGAAACAUCUUAGUAGCCAGAGGAAAAGAAAGCAAAAGCGAUUCUCUUAGUAGCGGCGAGCGAAAUGGGAACAGCCUAAACCACUUUAAUAAGUUUUAGUGGGGUUGUGGGACAGAUGUACAAGUAAACAAAAAGCUAGGUGAAACAAAUGAAAUUUUGUAUCAAAGAAGGUGAUAAUCCUGUAACCGAAAGUAGAUUGUAGCUUAUCUGUAUCCCGAGUAGCAUGGAACACGUGAAAUUCCGUGUGAAUCUGCGAGGACCACCUCGUAAGGCUAAAUAUUCCUAAAUGACCGAUAGUGAACAGUACCGUGAGGGAAAGGUGAAAAGAACCCCGGAAGGGGAGUGAAAUAGAACAUGAAACCGUAAGCUUACAAGCAGUAGAAGGACGACUAAUCGUUUGACUUCGUGCAUGUUGAAGAAUGAGCCGGCGACUUAUAGGCAGUGGCAGGUUAAGAUAGAGAAUAUUAAAGCCAUAGUGAAAGCGAGCCUUAAUAGGGCGUAAGUCACUGUUUAUAGACCCGAACCCGGAUGAUCUAGCCAUGGCCAGGGUGAAGCUUAGGUAACACUAAGUGGAGGUCCGAACCGACUGAUGUUGAAAAAUCAGCGGACGAGCUGUGGCUAGGGGUGAAAUGCCAAUCGAAUCCGGAGCUAGCUGGUUCUCCCCGAAAUGCGUUUUGGCGCAGCGGUUGGUGCUUAAGCUUAGGGGUAAAGCACUGUUUCGGUGCGGGCUGUGAGAACGGUACCAAAUCGAGGCAAACUCUGAAUACUAAGUGUGUAGCCAACCAGUGAGACAGUGGGGGAUAAGCUUCAUUGUCAAAAGGGAAACAGCCCAGACCACCAGCUAAGGCCCCUAAAUAAUUGCUAAGUGAUAAAGGAAGUGGAAAUGUUUAGACAACCAGGAGGUUUGCUUAGAAGCAGCAAUCCUUUAAAGAGUGCGUAAUAGCUCACUGGUCUAAUGAUUCUGCGCCGAAAAUGAACGGGGCUAAGCAAUUUGCCGAAGCUGUGGGAUGUUAUUACAUCGGUAGGGGAGCGUUCUGUUAUAGAUUGAAGCACUAGCGUAAGCGGGUGUGGACUAAGCAGAAGUGAGAAUGUCGGCUUGAGUAGCGAAAACAUUGGUGAGAAUCCAAUGCCCCGAAAACCUAAGGGUUCCUUUGCAAGGUUCGUCCACGAAGGGUGAGUCAGGUCCUAAGGCGAGGCUGAAAAGCGUAGUCGAUGGGUAACAGGUUAAUAUUCCUGUACUAUUUUUUAUUGGUAACGAGGGACGGAGAAGGCUAAAUCAGCCGGAUGUUGGUUACUGGUUUAAAUUUUUGAAGGUGAUGAAAGAUGGCGAAAACAUCUUGAGCUAAAAAAUGAAUACAAGCCACUAAGGUGGUAAAGUGAUUGAUGUCAUACUUCCUAGAAAAGCUCGAAAUAUCUUAAAUAAAAAAUACCUGUACCCUAAACUGACACAAGUAGGUAAGUAGAGUAUACUAAGGGGCGCGAGAUAACUCUCUCUAAGGAACUCGGCAAAAUAGCCCCGUAACUUCGGAAGAAGGGGUGCCCUUGUAGGGCUGCAAUAAAUAGACCCAAGCGACUGUUUAUCAAAAACACAGGUCUCCGCUAAGUCGCAAGACAAUGUAUGGGGGCUGACGCCUGCCCAGUGCCGGAAGGUUAAGGAAGCUGGUUAGUCAUUGGCAAAGCUAGUAACUGAAGCCCCGGUGAACGGCGGCCGUAACUAUAACGGUCCUAAGGUAGCGAAAUUCCUUGUCGGGUAAGUUCCGACCCGCACGAAAGGCGUAACGAUUUGGGUACUGUCUCAGAGAGAGACUCGGCGAAAUAGAAUUGUCUGUGAAGAUGCGGACUACCUGCACCUGGACAGAAAGACCCUAUGAAGCUUUACUGUAGCUUGGGAUUGACUUUGGGUUUAUUUUGCGCAGUAUAUGUGGGAGGCUAAGAAAGUAUAUUUUUGGAUAUACUCGAGCCAUCAAUGAGAUACCACUCUAAGUAAACUAAAAUUCUAACUUUGAUAGUCGUUAACCGGCCAAAGAACAUUUCCAGGUGGGCAGUUUGACUGGGGCGGUCGCCUCCUAAAAAGUAACGGAGGCGUGCAAAGGUUUCCUCAGACUGGUCGGAAAUCAGUCUUCGAGUAUAAAGGCAUAAGGAAGCUUGACUGCAAGACCUACAAGUCGAGCAGAGACGAAAGUCGGCCUUAGUGAUCCGACAGUACUGAGUGGAAAGACUGUCGCUCAACGGAUAAAAGUUACUCUAGGGAUAACAGGCUGAUCUCCCCCAAGAGUUCACAUCGACGGGGAGGUUUGGCACCUCGAUGUCGGCUCAUCGCAUCCUGGGGCGGUAGUACGUCCCAAGGGUUGGGCUGUUCGCCCAUGAAAGCGGUACGCGAGCUGGGUUCAGAACGUCGUGAGACAGUUCGGUCCAUAUCCGGUGCAGGCGUUAGAGUAUUGAGAGGAGCUCUCCUUAGUACGAGAGGACCGGGAGAGACACACCUCUGGUGUACCAGUUAUUGUGCCAACAGUAAACGCUGGGUAGCUAAGUGUGGAUGUGAUAACUGCUGAAAGCAUCUAAGUAGGAAGCCAACCUCAAGAUGAGUACUCUCACCGUCUAACGGAUAAGAUCACGGUAAGAUUAACCGUUUGAUAGGCAUCAAGUGUAAGUGUAGUAAUGCAUGUAGCUGAGAUGUACUAAUAGAUCGAAGACUUUACUUAAAAU